This 253-nucleotide ribosomal RNA is filed under the name uncultured bacterium. RNAcentral describes it as "partial 16S ribosomal RNA". It matches the Rfam family "Bacterial small subunit ribosomal RNA", at positions 524 to 776 of the family's 1533-position model. The record is from RNAcentral.
GACAGAGGGUGCAACCGUUGCUCGGAAUCACUGGGCGUAAAGGGCGUGUAGGCGGGAAGGAAAGUCAGAUGUGAAAUCCCCAGGCUCAACCUGGGAACUGCAUUUGAAACUCCCUUUCUUGAGUACCGGAGAGGAAAGUGGAAUUCCUGGUGUAGAGGUGAAAUUCGUAGAUAUCGAGAGGAACACCGGUGGCGAAGGCGGCCAACUGGACGAAGACUGACGCUGAGACACGAAAGCGUGGGGAGCAAACAGG